GGAUUAGAUACCCUGGUAGUCCAUGCCGUAAACGAUGAGUACUAGCUGUUGGAAUCGGUGUUAAGGUUCUAGUGGCGUAGCUAACGCGCUAAGUACUCCGCCUGGGGAUUACGGCCGCAAGGCUAAAACUCAAAGGAAUUGACGGGGACCCGCACAAGCGGUGGAGCAUGUGGUUUAAUUCGAUGCAACGCGAAGAACCUUACCUACCCUUGACAUACCAAGAACUUUCUAGAGAUAGAUCGGUGCCUUCGGGAACUUGGAUACAGAUGCUGCAUGGCUGUCGUCAGCUCGUGCUG
Molecule: ribosomal RNA, 296 nt
Filed under: uncultured bacterium
Lineage: Bacteria
Description: partial 16S ribosomal RNA
Rfam family: Bacterial small subunit ribosomal RNA
Source: RNAcentral